GAACUCGUCGCGGUCCUUGCGUUUCUUCUGGUAGUAGAGGGUUCCGCGCCGCACCACGUAGCAGGCGGCGGCCUUGCGGAUCUUCCUCUUGACGUUGCCCUCGGUCCCCGGCGCAUAAGGUUCCUUCUCGUUGGUCAGGUUGGUUUCGGCCGUAGGGAGCGGGAAAGGUUUCCUCGGAUAGAUAAAAUGGCUGCUGCACAACCGGAGGUGACAUCAGGCGGCUGCGACCCUCGAACCGGAGCUCCACUCGCUGCAAAAUGGCGGUCGCAGUCUUGCAGCGUCUGGGUCAUUCUUGGGGAAGGACUCCCCCCCCCCAUGGACGCGUCAGGUGACAAGGAUUACUCUCGCUUUUCCUAGUUUUGGUGGGGACGUGAAAUAUGCCCCGAGGAUAAGACUGACAAAAAUAAAACUGGAGAUUCAAAACACAAAA
Long non-coding RNA from Leucoraja erinaceus (little skate), 430 nucleotides. RefSeq lists it as uncharacterized. The transcript is spliced from 2 exons. Lineage: Eukaryota; Metazoa; Chordata; Chondrichthyes; Rajiformes; Rajidae. The record is from RefSeq and is a predicted model, not a curated record.